AGCGGCAGCGGGACCUUCGGGUUGCCGGCGAGCGGCGGACGGGUGAGUAAUGCCUAGGAAUCUGCCUGUUAGUGGGGGAUAACGCGGGGAAACUCGCGCUAAUACCGCAUACGUCCUACGGGAGAAAGUGGGGGACCUUCGGGCCUCACGCUAACAGAUGAGCCUAGGUCGGAUUAGCUGGUUGGUGGGGUAACGGCCCACCAAGGCGACGAUCCGUAACUGGUCUGAGAGGAUGAUCAGUCACACUGGAACUGAGACACGGUCCAGACUCCUACGGGAGGCAGCAGUGGGGAAUAUUGGACAAUGGGCGAAAGCCUGAUCCAGCCAUGCCGCGUGUGUGAAGAAGGUCUUCGGAUUGUAAAGCACUUUAAGUCGGGAGGAAGGGCUGUAGGCGAAUACCCUGCAGUUUUGACGUUACCGACAGAAUAAGCACCGGCUAACUUCGUGCCAGCAGCCGCGGUAAUAC
RNAcentral lists this ribosomal RNA (466 nucleotides) under Azotobacter sp. RCR-11. RNAcentral describes it as "bacterial SSU rRNA". It matches the Rfam family "Bacterial small subunit ribosomal RNA", at positions 65 to 526 of the family's 1533-position model. The record is from RNAcentral. Lineage: Bacteria; Pseudomonadati; Pseudomonadota; Gammaproteobacteria; Pseudomonadales; Pseudomonadaceae.